GGUAAUAUAACUCAGCCCGGUAGAGUAGCGCCCUCAUAAGGCGUUUGUCGCAGGUUCGAAUCCCGCUAUUACCACCA
This 77-nucleotide transfer RNA is filed under the name Xanthomonas phage XacN1. RNAcentral's name for it is "tRNA-Met". It matches the Rfam family "tRNA". From Rfam's summary of the family: Transfer RNA (tRNA) molecules are approximately 80 nucleotides in length. The record is from RNAcentral. Lineage: Duplodnaviria; Heunggongvirae; Uroviricota; Caudoviricetes.